This 107-nucleotide small RNA is filed under the name Marmota monax (woodchuck). The record is from RNAcentral. Lineage: Eukaryota; Metazoa; Chordata; Mammalia; Rodentia; Sciuridae.
GCUGGGUACAUUGGCUCGUGUCUGUAAUUCCAGUUACUCAGGAGGCUGAGGCAGGAGAAUCUCAAGUUCAAGGACAGCCUCAGAAACUUAGGGAGACUUUGUCUUUA